This 223-nucleotide ribosomal RNA is filed under the name Salmonella enterica subsp. enterica serovar Typhimurium. RNAcentral's name for it is "partial 23S ribosomal RNA". It matches the Rfam family "Bacterial large subunit ribosomal RNA", at positions 2720 to 2925 of the family's 2925-position model. The record is from RNAcentral. Lineage: Bacteria; Pseudomonadati; Pseudomonadota; Gammaproteobacteria; Enterobacterales; Enterobacteriaceae.
GUUGUCAUGCCAAUGGCACUGCCCGGUAGCUAAAUGCGGAAGAGAUAAGUGCUGAAAGCAUCUAAGCACGAAACUUGCCCCGAGAUGAGUUCUCCCUGAGACUUUAGGUCUCCUGAAGGAACGUUGAAGACGACGACGUUGAUAGGCCGGGUGUGUAAGCGCAGCGAUGCGUUGAGCUAACCGGUACUAAUGAACCGUGAGGCUUAACCUUACAACGCCGAAG